Molecule: long non-coding RNA, 487 nt
Organism: Oncorhynchus tshawytscha (Chinook salmon)
Lineage: Eukaryota; Metazoa; Chordata; Actinopteri; Salmoniformes; Salmonidae
Source: Ensembl
UGGGACUCUGCUGAUAGCCAGGUGUAACAGUGGUAAGGUGUUGGGACUCUGCUGAUAUCCAGGUGUAGCAGUGGUAAGGUGCUGGGUCUCUGCUGAUAGCCAGGUGUAACAGUGGUAAGGUGCUGGGUCUCUGCUGAUAGCCAGGUGUAUCAGUGGUAAGGUGCUGGGUCUCUGCUGAUAGCCAGGUGUAACAGUGGUAAGGUGUUGGGACUCUGCUGAUAACCAGGUAUAACAGUGGUAAGGUGUUGGGACUCUGUUGAUAACCAGGUGUAACAGUGGUAAGGUGUUGGGACUCUGCUGAUAUCCAGGUGUAACAGUGGUAAGGUGUUGGGACUCUGCUGAUAACCAGGUGUAACAGUGGUAAGGUGUUGGGACUCUGCUGAUAUCCAGGUGUAACAGUGGUAAGGUGUUGGGACUCUGCUGAUAGCCAGGUGUAACAGUGGUAAGGUGUUGGGACUCUGUUGAUAACCAGGUGUAACAGUGGUAA